This 319-nucleotide ribosomal RNA is filed under the name uncultured bacterium. RNAcentral describes it as "bacterial SSU rRNA". It matches the Rfam family "Bacterial small subunit ribosomal RNA", at positions 28 to 346 of the family's 1533-position model. The record is from RNAcentral.
GACGAACGCUGGCGGCGUGCUUAACACAUGCAAGUCGAGCGGUAAGGCCCGUUUCGGGGGUACACGAGCGGCGAACGGGUGAGUAACACGUGGGUGACCUGCCCUCAGCUCUGGGAUAAGCCGUGGGAAACCGGGUCUAAUACCGGAUAUGACUCCAUGACGCAUGUUGUGGGGUGGAAAGCCUUGUGCGGCUGAGGAUGGGCCCGCGGCCUAUCAGCUUGUUGGUGGGGUGAUGGCCUACCAAGGCGAAGACGGGUAGCUGGUCUGAGAGGAUGAUCAGCCACACUGGAACUGAGACACGGUCCAGACUCCUACGGGA